Small nucleolar RNA from Juglans regia (Persian walnut), 93 nucleotides. RefSeq annotates it as small nucleolar RNA Z102/R77. NCBI's taxonomy places the organism in Eukaryota, Viridiplantae, Streptophyta, Magnoliopsida, Fagales, Juglandaceae. The transcript has a single exon. The record is from RefSeq and is a predicted model, not a curated record.
GAAUGAGAUGAUGAUUGUGUUUUUGACGUUUCCCUAUUGGUUUGAUUGCCGAUAUGAUGGCGUCCAUCUUGUAUUAGCUCUAGCUGAUCGUUC